CCGGGCUUAGUCACCCUUGAUAUGGGUUUCUGGUUCUAUACCACACCUCUGGCCAGAGACAAGAACUUAGAGGCAUCUUUCCUGCCUAGCAGACUGGAUUCCCCACUUCUCUGUUGCUUCCUUCAGACAGACCAUUCAGGCAUUUGCCAGUGAAUUGAGAGUGACCACACCCUAUUUCUUUACCUACAUUGUUAACUGUCUUGCUGUCUCUGUCUGACUUCUUAUUCCUGCCUCAUGUAACCUAGAGAAGGAGGACUGCCCUUCAGACUCAUUAUGCCCUUUCUGUCCAGGAUCUGUCCUGCCUCAAGAUGUAGCCACCGAGUCUCAGAAAAAGAAAAAUGACCUUGAGACUUGAGACGGCAUAACCUGGUGUUGAGUCUCUGUGUCAUAUAUGC
This 395-nucleotide long non-coding RNA is filed under the name Homo sapiens (human). RNAcentral describes it as "PREDICTED lncRNA (TCONS_00262059)". Lineage: Eukaryota; Metazoa; Chordata; Mammalia; Primates; Hominidae. The record is from RNAcentral.